CUGAGUGAGGGCCCUCGUGGUCCGACCUCCAACCCUUUGUCGUCCGACUCUGUUGCCUCGGGGGCGUCCCCGGCGUUCGCGCCAGGGGCCCCCGGCGGUCCACACAACUCUGCAUCUUUGCGUCUGAGUAAACAUUAAAUGAAACA
RNAcentral lists this unclassified non-coding RNA (146 nucleotides) under uncultured Pseudocercosporella. Its description in RNAcentral is "sequence contains ITS1". Lineage: Eukaryota; Fungi; Ascomycota; Dothideomycetes; Mycosphaerellales; Mycosphaerellaceae. The record is from RNAcentral.